AGAUUGAACGCUGGCGGCAGGCCUAACACAUGCAAGUCGAGCGGCAGCACGGGUACUUGUACCUGGUGGCGAGCGGCGGACGGGUGAGUAAUGCCUAGGAAUCUGCCUGGUAGUGGGGGAUAACGCUCGGAAACGGACGCUAAUACCGCAUACGUCCUACGGGAGAAAGCAGGGGACCUUCGGGCCUUGCGCUAUCAGAUCGAGCCUAGGUCGGAUUAGCUAGUUGGUGAGGUAAUGGCUCACCAAGGCGACGAUCCGUAACUGGUCUGAGAGGAUGAUCAGUCACGACUGGAACUGAGACACGGUCCAGACUCCUACGGGAGCAGCGAGUGGGAAUAUUGGACAAGUGGGCAAAGCCUGAUCCAGCCAUCGCCGCGUGUGU
Molecule: ribosomal RNA, 382 nt
Filed under: uncultured soil bacterium
Lineage: Bacteria
Description: bacterial SSU rRNA
Rfam family: Bacterial small subunit ribosomal RNA
Source: RNAcentral